Molecule: ribosomal RNA, 1744 nt
Filed under: Proteus sp. G4445
Lineage: Bacteria; Pseudomonadati; Pseudomonadota; Gammaproteobacteria; Enterobacterales; Morganellaceae
Description: partial 23S ribosomal RNA
Rfam family: Bacterial large subunit ribosomal RNA
Source: RNAcentral
GUUGGGUAGGGGAGCGUUCUGUAAGCCUGCGAAGGUGUACUGUGAGGUAUGCUGGAGGUAUCAGAAGUGCGAAUGCUGACAUAAGUAACGAUAAUGCGGGUGAAAAACCCGCACGCCGGAAGACCAAGGGUUCCUGUCCAACGUUAAUCGGGGCAGGGUGAGUCGACCCCUAAGGCGAGGCUGAAAAGCGUAGUCGAUGGGAAACGGGUUAAUAUUCCCGUACUGGUGGUAACUGCGAUGGGGGAACGGAGAAGGCUAGGUUGUCCGGGCGACGGUCGUCCCGGUUCAAGCAGGUAGGCAGAGUGAUUAGGCAAAUCCGGUCACUUAAUGCUGAGAUGUGAUGACGAACCACUAAGGUGGUGAAGCAAUUGAUGCCCCGCUUCCAGGAAAAGCCUCUAAGCUUCAGGUUACCAACAAUCGUACCCCAAACCGACACAGGUGGUCAGGUAGAGAAUACUCAGGCGCUUGAGAGAACUCGGGUGAAGGAACUAGGCAAAAUGGUGCCGUAACUUCGGGAGAAGGCACGCUGGCGGUAGGUAAAGUCCCUUGCGGACGGCGCUGAAGCCAGUCGAAGAUACCAGCUGGCUGCAACUGUUUAUUAAAAACACAGCACUGUGCAAACACGAAAGUGGACGUAUACGGUGUGACGCCUGCCCGGUGCUGGAAGGUUAAUUGAUGGGGUCAGCCGUAAGGCGAAGCUCCUGAUCGAAGCCCCAGUAAACGGCGGCCGUAACUAUAACGGUCCUAAGGUAGCGAAAUUCCUUGUCGGGUAAGUUCCGACCUGCACGAAUGGCGUAAUGAUGGCCAGGCUGUCUCCACCCGAGACUCAGUGAAAUUGAACUCGCUGUGAAGAUGCAGUGUACCCGCGGCAAGACGGAAAGACCCCGUGAACCUUUACUAUAGCUUGACACUGAACAUUGAGCCUUGAUGUGUAGGAUAGGUGGGAGGCUUUGAAGUGUGGACGCCAGUCUGCAUGGAGCCAACCUUGAAAUACCACCCUUUAACGUUUGAUGUUCUAACCUAGGCCCAUAAACUGGGUCGGGGACCGUGUCUGGUGGGUAGUUUGACUGGGGCGGUCUCCUCCUAAAGAGUAACGGAGGAGCACGAAGGUUGGCUAAGCAUGGUCGGACAUCAUGCGGUUAGUGCAAAGGCAUAAGCCAGCUUGACUGCGAGAGUGACGGCUCGAGCAGGUACGAAAGUAGGUCUUAGUGAUCCGGUGGUUCUGAAUGGAAGGGCCAUCGCUCAACGGAUAAAAGGUACUCCGGGGAUAACAGGCUGAUACCGCCCAAGAGUUCAUAUCGACGGCGGUGUUUGGCACCUCGAUGUCGGCUCAUCACAUCCUGGGGCUGAAGUAGGUCCCAAGGGUAUGGCUGUUCGCCAUUUAAAGUGGUACGCGAGCUGGGUUUAGAACGUCGUGAGACAGUUCGGUCCCUAUCUGCCGUGGGCGUUGGAAGAUUGAGAGGGGUUGCUCCUAGUACGAGAGGACCGGAGUGAACGCACCACUGGUGUUCGGGUUGUCAUGCCAAUGGCAUUGCCCGGUAGCUAAGUGCGGAAGAGAUAACCGCUGAAAGCAUCUAAGCGGGAAACUUGCCUCGAGAUGAGUCUUCCCUGUCGCUUUAAGCGACCUAAAGGAACGUUUAAGACUAAGACGUUGAUAGGCUGGGUGUGUAAGCGUAGCGAUACGUUGAGCUAACCAGUACUAAUGAACCGUGAGGCUUAACCUGACAACACCGAAAGUGUUUUG